ACGCAGCCAGCUGCGAGACUUGGUGUGAAUUGCAGGACACAUUGAGCACUGAUUUUUCGAACGCACAUUGCGGCCUCGGUUCCUACCCGGGGCCUCGCCUGUCUGAGGGUCGGAUG
Molecule: ribosomal RNA, 116 nt
Filed under: Tliltocatl vagans
Lineage: Eukaryota; Metazoa; Arthropoda; Arachnida; Araneae; Theraphosidae
Description: partial 5.8S ribosomal RNA
Rfam family: 5.8S ribosomal RNA
About the family: 5.8S ribosomal RNA (5.8S rRNA) is a component of the large subunit of the eukaryotic ribosome. It is transcribed by RNA polymerase I as part of the 45S precursor that also contains 18S and 28S rRNA. Functionally, it is thought that 5.8S rRNA may be involved in ribosome translocation.
Source: RNAcentral